AGGCUUUAACUAAAAUUGAAAAGUCAAUUAUCAAAUAUUCAUUAUCAUUUUUUAUAACAAUGAACUGUAAGUAUGAAGUAAAAUAAUUGUUUUAUUGAGAUGUUUAAAUUACAGGAAUUGCCUUUUAUAAAAAAAAGAAAAUACUUCCCCAAAUGUUUAAAGUAUGUCUAGACAUUAACUUUAUAUGUCAGGUCAUUAUCAUAAGACAAGAUUAACUCCAAGGAUGACUAAGUGCACACUUAUAUGAAUGUAAAACAAAAGUAAAUACAAAUGUAGAUUAGUGUGUUGUAAGGAAAGCGAGAAUGAAGGAUCUUUUUUUUUUAAUAAUUUUAAGUAUGAAUAAAUUUUCUUCUUGAAUCUUAAACAUUUAGACUGUGGUGUACAUUUAAAUUCAUUUUAUGCCAGGAAUCUACUGCAAAACAAAUUUUACUAAUCAUACUUUUAUAUUUUUACACUUUGAUGGUAGAACUAUACAGAUGAUUCCAUAUUCAUGCCAGUAUCAUAAUUGACAUUGAAUCUUUUUUCCUUAAUUUGUAUCAAAAGUUAUAUUGCAACUCUGGCAAAAAUAAUAUUUAAAACAACAUGCAUUCUGUUAAGGACUUUUUGGUUUUGAUGCUUAUUAGUUUUAUGUACAAUAUAUUUGGCUUCCCAAACUUUUGGUAUCAUAGUCAUGCCCACUGAAAUCUGUAUCAUCCUUAUAUCUAUUCAGGACCACUAGGUUAGUACCCCAAUUGGAGGACAAUUAAUCCUAAAAAGUAUCAUACACCCAUUAUCUGGUACUUUGGUAUAGGUAUGAAUAAAAUAAUAUAUUCUGACUUAAUUGUCAUUUCAUCAAUAUGUAAUACAUGUAAUACUAUAGCUAAGACUUCAACUCUUCCAGGCAAAAUUGUUCAAAGACUUAACUGGCUACUGUGGAUUUUUUAUUAUUUGUGGGAUACCAAUUUUUGUGGACUUCAUGGGUAUAGGUAAACCACAAAUUUAAAUGUUCAACAAGGGACACAUUUUCUGUAGACUUAAAUGCAGACUAAGUCAAAAUAAAAAAUACACAAAAAUGCAAUUUUUCCCCAAUCCACAAAUAAUAGAUCCCACUAAUAUGAAUUCACAGUAUUCCAUAAUCCAGUAACAUCCUUUAUGUGAAUGAAUAUAAAUAAUAAUUACCAUUGAUACCUGUAAUGGUAAUAAAUGAUGGGACAAUAAAAAUACUUCAAAUAUUAAUGCCAUAUACAAACUCAAGUCUUUCAGUUUCUUAAGUGUCAAAAGGUAGUGAAAUGGUGCAAAAUAUAACUCCAUUCCUUAUAAAAACCCAAAACUCUUUUCAUAAUAUACCCAAAUCUGAUAAUAUGGAGAAGUGGUAUGAUUGCCAAUUAGACAACUAUCCAGUAUUCAUCAGAAUUCCCCAAAAAUGUUUUCAUUGAAACAGAAAGCUACUUAAAUUUUUGAUUUAUGUUGAAAAAAUAUCUAAGGGACGAAUUUAAUUCUUCAGGUUAAGAGUAAUGAUUUAAUGUUAAACGAUUUUCUUGUUAUUAUUUAAAAUGAUUUUUUUUACUUGGAAUUAUCACCAAUUUAACAAUAAAUAAUGACAUAUUCUAUAUGUUUUAUGUAAAAGUAUAACAAAUCAAAACAUUCAUUCAACACUAAAAAAAAAUAGAAAAAAAUAAAUAACAUAUCUACAAAUUUCAAACCUUAUGUACAUAACAAAAUUCUUAACAGAUUAUAUAUAUAUAUAUUAUGGCAAUAUUGCACCUCAUAAAUAAUUUUGUAAUAUAGUUUUCUGCUACAAUAUAUUUGUCAUGAGUAUUCACCAUUUAUACUUCUUCUCUUUGUAAUCUAAACAUCUAAACUUAUGAAAAAUAAAAAUGAAUUAAUCAUUUCAGGUACAUUUUUCUUCAAAUUAAAAGAUAACAAGAAUGUGUCAAAAGUACACGGAUGCCCCACUCGCACUAUAAUUUUCUAUGUUUGAUGGACCGUGAAAUUGGGUAAAAAAUAAUUUGGAAUUAAAAUUAGAAAGAUCAUACCAUAGUGAAGUUAAGUGAACAUGUGUACUAAGUUUCAAGUUGAUUGAACUUCAACUUCAUUAAAAGCUACCUUGACCAAAAACUUUAACCUGAAACUCGCACUUUCAUUUUCUAUGUUCGGUGGACCGUGAAAUUGGGGUCAAAAGUCUAAUUUGGCUUUUAAAUUAGAAAGAUCAUAUCAUAAGGAACAUGUGUACUAAGUUUCAAUUUGAUUUGACUUCAGCUUCAUCAAAAACUAACUUGACCAAAAACUUUAACCUGAAGUGGGACGGACGGACAAACAAACGGACGAACGAACGGACAGACAGACCAGAAAACAUAAUGCCCCUCUACUAUUGUAGGUGGGGCAUAAAAAGUUCAAAAUUGUUUAUUAUCACCAUUUGAAGAUCAUUAAUUUGUCUUUAUGAUUUAAUAAACUACUAAAUGUAUAAAAUUUCCUUGUUUUCAAAAAAUUGGUUUAUCUAUACAAUUAUAUAAAAUUUCACCUGGAAAUUAACUGUUCA
This 2518-nucleotide long non-coding RNA is filed under the name Mytilus galloprovincialis (Mediterranean mussel). The record is from RNAcentral. Lineage: Eukaryota; Metazoa; Mollusca; Bivalvia; Mytilida; Mytilidae.